GGAGGGUAUAGCUCAGUGGUAGAGUGCCUGCUUAGCAUGCAUGAGGUCCUGGGUUCAAUCCCCAGUACCUCCA
Molecule: transfer RNA, 73 nt
Filed under: Vicugna pacos (alpaca)
Lineage: Eukaryota; Metazoa; Chordata; Mammalia; Artiodactyla; Camelidae
Description: tRNA-Ala (AGC) (tRNA-Ala-AGC-77-1, tRNA-Ala-AGC-77-2)
Rfam family: tRNA
About the family: Transfer RNA (tRNA) molecules are approximately 80 nucleotides in length.
Source: RNAcentral